RNAcentral lists this ribosomal RNA (255 nucleotides) under uncultured bacterium. RNAcentral describes it as "partial 16S ribosomal RNA". It matches the Rfam family "Bacterial small subunit ribosomal RNA", at positions 524 to 776 of the family's 1533-position model. The record is from RNAcentral.
UACAGAGGUCUCAAGCGUUGUUCGGAUUCAUUGGGCGUAAAGGGUGCGUAGGUGGCGGGGCAAGUUUGGUGUGAAAUCCCGGGGCUCAACCCCGGAACUGCACUGAAUACUGCCUUGCUUGAGCACUGGAGAGGGAACUGGAAUUUACGGUGUAGCAGUGAAAUGCGUAGAUAUCGUAAGGAAGACCAGUGGCGAAGGCGAGUUCCGUGGACAGUUGCUGACACUGAGGCAGCGAAGGCUAGGGGAGCAAACGGG